GGUUUCCCGGGUAGGGGCAAACGCCCGGAAAUUACCCCACCCCCAAAUCCGGUGCCUUUUGGGUUUGGGGAUUUGUGGUGUAAAGGUUGUGUCUUUAUUUGUGUGGGGCCCUUCAAAUUCCCUUGAUGGGGAUAUUGCCCAAAAAGGGGGUCAAACCCUUUGAGGCGUAUGGUACCCCAUUUUUUGAUGCUCCCUAUGAUUCGAAUUGUUUGAAAAUGCAUUCCAAAUACGGGGGUAACCCCCUUCUAGGGCUAAAUACUUGUACAAGCCCAAUACCAAACAAUUCCCGGGGGGAAAAUUUAAAAAAAAUUUUAAAAAGAGAKUUAAAUAGUACGUGAAWUCGCUUAGAGGUAAACGAGUGGARCCSAAAAGGUUGGGSGGGAUUCAGUUGGGUGUGCRAUGGCGAUCGGUUGCGGWAAAAACCACAUCUGGYAUUACUCKAUCGGUUGUUGUUGKGCGCACAAUGSACUUUCUGUUCGACKGGACUGKGACCGGUAGUGUCGUUUGUUAKKAGUGACGUUGAAGGUGAUCAUUUGCUUGUCAUUUGGUUUUAUAGCUCGUUACUCGAAUGAAUGUGAUGUAUCGGUGAAUUGCAAUCGGUCAAUGUUGGCAAUCGGUUAUGUAUGUCGUCCGGUGGUAGGCUACUCGUACACUGCUGUCGGGCGGUGUGUGUGAUCGGUUGUCRAUGGAUCGGUUUAAAGUCACAGKAAUAUGUAGGCCAUCUACUCGUCCCGUCUUGAAACACGGACCAAGGAGUUUUAUAUGAUCGCGAGUCAAAGGGCUGUACGAAACCCCAGGGCGCAAUUAAUGUAAAGGUCUGCUUUAGUAGGCUGAGAUGUGACCCGGUAUCCGUCAAAMGGKAUCGGUGCAAUAUCGACCCGUCUGAAGAUGUUCGCAUCUGGGCGGAGUUUGAGCGAUCAUGUAGAGACCCGAAAGAUGGUGAACUAUGCUUGUGCAGGUUGAAGUCAGAGGAAACUCUGAUGGAGGACCGCCGCGGUUCUGACGUGCAAAUCGAUCGUCGGACAUGAGUAUAGGGGCGAAAG
RNAcentral lists this ribosomal RNA (1043 nucleotides) under Geoplaninae gen. T sp. g ALA-2021. RNAcentral's name for it is "partial large subunit ribosomal RNA". Lineage: Eukaryota; Metazoa; Platyhelminthes; Tricladida; Geoplanidae. The record is from RNAcentral.